UACGUAGGGGGCAAGCGUUGUCCGGAUUUAUUGGGCGUAAAGAGCGUGUAGGCGGCUUGGUAGGUCUGCUGUGAAAACUCGGGGCUCAACCCCGAGACGUCGGUGGAAACCACCUGGCUAGAGUCCGGAAGAGGAGAGUGGAAUUCCUGGUGUAGCGGUGAAAUGCGCAGAUAUCAGGAAGAAUAUCCGUGGCGAAGACGGCUCUCUGGGACGGUACUGACGCUGAGACGCGAAAGCGUGGGGAGCGAACAGG
This 253-nucleotide ribosomal RNA is filed under the name uncultured bacterium. RNAcentral describes it as "partial 16S ribosomal RNA". It matches the Rfam family "Bacterial small subunit ribosomal RNA", at positions 524 to 776 of the family's 1533-position model. The record is from RNAcentral.